AGAACGUGGAAGAGCUGCCGUCUUGUAAUCGGCAGGUUGUAGGUUCAAAUCCUACUGGCG
This 60-nucleotide transfer RNA is filed under the name Caudoviricetes sp. Its description in RNAcentral is "tRNA-Thr". The record is from RNAcentral. Lineage: Duplodnaviria; Heunggongvirae; Uroviricota; Caudoviricetes.